UUCAAAAUUUUUGAUUUAGUUAAGAUUUUAUGCAGUUUUUGCAUUAAUACAUGGUCCAGAAAAUCAUUGAGUUGUUUCAUCCAAGUUACCUUUGUUCUCUAGUAGAUAGUAUAUAUUUUGCCCAUAAGAAUAUUGCUUCAACUUUACCAAUUGUGUAGAACAGGUCAACAAUAGCAAUGUGGAUGAUACCUUGAGGUUACACCUUUAACCGUUUUGUAAGAGAGAAACCAGGAACAAAAAUUUUCAACCAAAUGAAGAAGUUGCCAUAGAUAUCGAGAUGUAUACAUUUGGCACAGCCCACAGUGAUUAGCUUAAACUGCACUAAGAGAAAAACAUGUUGUAUUAUGUGUUUUCAUAAUGAUGGACAAGACUAUUUAAUUUGGCUCUGAACACAAGAUAGUUGUAAAUAUGUAAUUUUACAUUGAGAGAAAGACUUGGAGUUCUUGGAUAAUCUUCACCAAACCAGCUGAGAAAUGUGGUGGACUUAUAGUUUCAUUGGAUAUCUGGCCAAUUAUUUUAUCAACAGCUUGAUGAAUAUACAUUCUCUGGAGAAUUUUGGAAAUGAAGAGGUGCAUGAAUCUAAAUUUCAAAUGGACAGCAACUGCCUGUUGUAGAAACCUACAAAUGUAGAGGAUGACGUUUCGAAAGUCUUCCGCCUUUUGUCUUCAGGUGCAUUCUAAUAAAACUGCUACGCAAAUAUAAACAAUGUUUCUUCUCAGAAUUUCCACUGUGGUUAAUCCAUUCAGCAUGAAUAUCUUUCAGUCUGCAGCAUAAAGUUGCAGAAAAUGUUAUGUAUAGUUGUCUUUUUAUUUGAUGAUAAUAAUAAUAAUUAUGUUUAUGCUUUAACUGAUGUUUCUGUCCUUAAGAUGAAGCAUGAAACAAAACUUCUUUAAUGUUUUGGCAGUGUGUGCAGCAGCACCAGCUCUUCAGUUACUUUGGGACACUAUGUUAACCAUUAAACUUGGCUUAAAAUACUUUUGACAAAGAUGUUGGUCGUAGACAUAUGCUAAUACAGAAUUACUACAAAUGUCUUGAAAGAACUGUGAAUUUUUAUGAAUACCCCAAGAAGACACAAAAGCUAAAACUUUAGAAAUAUAAGUAUGGGCUAAUAUUUAAAAACCUACAUUAUAAUUGUACCUAAUAUUCAAAACCUUUUACUUUUUGUUUUACAUUUAUUACAUAAUAAUGUUUAAUAAUCUAAAAAUGUUGCACCCUGCAUGCUCAGUAGGUAUCUCCUAUAAAUAUUGGUUAUGU
Molecule: long non-coding RNA, 1254 nt
Organism: Limulus polyphemus (Atlantic horseshoe crab)
Lineage: Eukaryota; Metazoa; Arthropoda; Merostomata; Xiphosura; Limulidae
Exons: 3
Source: RefSeq, a predicted model, not a curated record